RNAcentral lists this long non-coding RNA (473 nucleotides) under Androctonus crassicauda. Lineage: Eukaryota; Metazoa; Arthropoda; Arachnida; Scorpiones; Buthidae. The record is from RNAcentral.
AUUUCGUUUGUUGCUUAAUUCUUCUUACAUACUUCCACCUAUACUUUUUUCUCUCUAAAUCAUUAUCACAUGUAUUAGCUAUUAAUUCUUCAACUAUUGGAAUCUGGUCCUUGAUGGAUAAUUCUUGAUAAAUUGCACAUGAUGGCCCUAACUUAAACAACUCCUGCACGUAGUUUUGGUAAAACUAUUUCUCCUAACACAGUUACAGCAAAGUCUCAUUCACUAUAUGAAUAACAGUACUGGAGAUGCUCUCUGCCAUGGCCAUAAAGACAGAACUAAUGUUUGUAGCAAGAUCUUUUGUUAAUAAUCCCUCGCACUCAUAUAUUGAAUUUGCAUGUAAGAGAGCAUUGGUAAAUUCACCUCUAAACUCAUUCCAACAUGUUUCUUCUAGUGAUUCUCUCUCGACAGUCUUAUUUGUUGAAAGUUAUUCUGCCAUUUUUGCUUGUAUGAUGUUUACAAUAUUAAAUCUGUAC